AUGUUGACAAAUUUGAUCACAGCAGGGACUGACAAAGUUAGUACAAUCCUCACUGUUGGACAUAUAUUUCAAGGUAAAAUUAAACUUCAAGAACAUGAUCAAGCAGGAGCUUCAUGCAACAUUGGAUGUGAGAAGCUAUGGUGUAGAACCACUGCCGCCUCCACUCUGCCCUGCCCCUCUGCACUGUCCUCGACAACCAUGCGGGCCACCUUGCCGCUCGCUUCGCAAGCAACCACUUCAUCCCCAACCUUCCCUCCCCAGGUUCAGUCCUUCAUCCCCAACCUUUUUCUAGAUAUAUGGAUUAGAGAAAUUCAUGCUAAGUAUUGA
This 327-nucleotide ribosomal RNA is filed under the name Triticum aestivum (bread wheat). RNAcentral's name for it is "partial small subunit ribosomal RNA". Lineage: Eukaryota; Viridiplantae; Streptophyta; Magnoliopsida; Poales; Poaceae. The record is from RNAcentral.